RNAcentral lists this long non-coding RNA (1135 nucleotides) under Homo sapiens (human). RNAcentral's name for it is "non-protein coding lnc-SGK1-8:1". Lineage: Eukaryota; Metazoa; Chordata; Mammalia; Primates; Hominidae. The record is from RNAcentral.
AUGGCGGGGGUCCCGAGGGGGCACGAGGCCACCCUCCCAGGUGUGUGAGGGCAGAGGGGACCACAAGCCCAUCCCUUUUCUGAGGGGCCCUCCUGCUGCCACCAUCCCAUGCCCCCACGGGGGCCCCCCGGGGCUGGCUCACAGCCGCAGGCCUCGGGGCCGCUGCUGCUGAUGGAUUGAAGCCGCCCCACAAGCUCAGGAGGUGCAGGGAGAUGGCCUCUGGCUCCCGUGUGGGGCUGCAGGAGCAGGCGGGCUGCAAAGUGCCCGAAGCUAUGGCACUGUGGGAGAGGCCAGUGUGGCUGAGCACCCAUGGGUGCUCCUGGAGGGUGCAUGGCUGGCUGUGGCAGUCUGGCUGCUGCUGCCUCGCCUGGCCUGGUGCCUGGUCACCUUCCCCGCCUACUGCAGCCCCCAGCCAUCCCCACAGAGCUUCUCUUCGGGUGGCGCUUCUCUCCGGACAGUGGGGCCUGACCUGUGGGCAGCUGCUGGCGUCAGCACCCUUGCUCCAGUCGUGGGCCUGGGACACCAGGCUUCUCAUGUGCAGGCGUCUGAGCUGCUCCAGUGAGGAGGGUAGGAUCCAUGGCCCCUUGGUGAAGCCUGAGCGAGACUGGGCGAGAGGCAGGGAGAGAAUAUGUUAUUCCAUCCUUGGGCCACAGAUUUAUGGCAAGGAUGGUGGAUUUCUUUAUUCUCUUUUUGUAAAGGCAACCAUUGUCUUAAGCAUUAUGCACCUUAGUGGGAUAGAGGAUAUCUCUUUGCUAUGCAUUACAUAUUGGAAUAAAUAGAUGAAGGCACAUCAAUGGAAGACUUGCAGAAAAUGAUGGUUGUGGCUCUUAUAUACAGAUUAUUAGUUUGUUUCUAUGAGAUAAUUUGCAUUUGGGGAGCAGGUGGAGCUACCCCAGGGAAGUUCCUGCUGGGGCUUCGAGUUGUGACAUCAGUGCUUAUUGCACUAAGUUGGGUUUUAGUGAUUCCUUCCUCAAAUGUUAGUAUUACAACGUCCACUAUACGAGCUUUGAUCAAGAAUUUUUUGAUUGCUUCUUUUUUCACUGCUUUCAUCACACUGCUGUUUUUUCAGCAUAAUCGAAAAACCUAUGACAUUGUAGCAGGAACCAUUGUGGUAAAAAGAAAUGGGGUCAGAUGA